Molecule: signal recognition particle RNA, 231 nt
Filed under: Gorilla gorilla gorilla (western lowland gorilla)
Lineage: Eukaryota; Metazoa; Chordata; Mammalia; Primates; Hominidae
Description: Metazoan signal recognition particle RNA
Rfam family: Metazoan signal recognition particle RNA
About the family: The signal recognition particle (SRP) is a universally conserved ribonucleoprotein. It is involved in the co-translational targeting of proteins to membranes. The eukaryotic SRP consists of a 300-nucleotide 7S RNA and six proteins: SRPs 72, 68, 54, 19, 14, and 9.
Source: Rfam by way of RNAcentral
GCUGGGUUUGGUGGCUCACGCCUGUGAUCCCAGCACUUUGGGAGGCUGAGGUGGGUGGAUCAUCUGAGGUCAGGAGUUCAGCCUGGCCAACUCUACUAAAAAUACAAAAAUUAGCCGGGCAUGGUGGCGGGUGCCUGUAAUCCCAGCUAGUGNNNNNNNNNNCUAAUUUUUGUAUUUUUAGUAGAGUUGGCCAGGCUGAACUCCUGACCUCAGAUGAUCCACCCACCUCAG